GGAAGUAAAAGUCGUAACGAGGUUUCCGUAGGUGAACCUGCGGAAGGAUCAUUAUUGUAUAACCGAGGUGCGAGGGCUGUCGCUGACCCGAAAGGUCGUGCACGCCCGAGUGCCCUCACACACAUCCAUCUCACCCCUAUGUGCACCACCGCGUGGGUCCCCCUUUGGCUUGUUCGGAGGGGGGCUUACGUUUUCACACAAACUUUGUAUGCAGUGUAGAAUGUAUUUUUUGUUUUUGCGAUCACGCAAUCAAUACAACUCUCAACAACGGAUCUCUUGGCUCUC
Molecule: unclassified non-coding RNA, 285 nt
Filed under: plant metagenome
Description: partial contains small subunit ribosomal RNA, internal transcribed spacer 1, and 5.8S ribosomal RNA
Rfam family: Eukaryotic small subunit ribosomal RNA (bases 1-54)
Source: RNAcentral